RNAcentral lists this ribosomal RNA (279 nucleotides) under uncultured bacterium. RNAcentral describes it as "partial 16S ribosomal RNA". It matches the Rfam family "Bacterial small subunit ribosomal RNA", at positions 506 to 784 of the family's 1533-position model. The record is from RNAcentral.
UGCCAGCAGCCGCGGUAAUACGGAGAGGGCAAGCGUUGUUCGGAAUCACUGGGCAUUAAGCGCACGUUGGCGGAUUGGAAAGUCAGUUGUGAAAGCCCGGGGCUCAACCCCGGAAUUGCUUCUGAAACUUCCAGUCUUGAGGGUGAGAGGGGAGAGUGGAACUUCUGGUGGAGCGGUGAAAUGCGUAGAGAUCAGAAGGAACACCGGUGGCGAAAGCGACUCUCUGGCUCAUUUCUGACGCUGAGGUGCGAAAGCUUGGGUAGCGAACGGGAUUAGAUA